RNAcentral lists this ribosomal RNA (1371 nucleotides) under uncultured bacterium. Its description in RNAcentral is "bacterial SSU rRNA". It matches the Rfam family "Bacterial small subunit ribosomal RNA", at positions 28 to 1380 of the family's 1533-position model. The record is from RNAcentral.
GAUAAACGCUGGCGGCGUGCCUAAUACAUGCAAGUCGAGCGAACGGACGAGAAGCUUGCUUCUCUGAUGUUAGCGGCGGACGGGUGAGUAACACGUGGAUAACCUACCUAUAAGACUGGGAUAACUUCGGGAAACCGGAGCUAAUACCGGAUAAUAUUUUGAACCGCAUGGUUCAAAAGUGAAAGACGGUCUUGCUGUCACUUAUAGAUGGAUCCGCGCUGCAUUAGCUAGUUGGUAAGGUAACGGCUUACCAAGGCAACGAUGCAUAGCCGACCUGAGAGGGUGAUCGGCCACACUGGAACUGAGACACGGUCCAGACUCCUACGGGAGGCAGCAGUAGGGAAUCUUCCGCAAUGGGCGAAAGCCUGACGGAGCAACGCCGCGUGAGUGAUGAAGGUCUUCGGAUCGUAAAACUCUGUUAUUAGGGAAGAACAUAUGUGUAAGUAACUGUGCACAUCUUGACGGUACCUAAUCAGAAAGCCACGGCUAACUACGUGCCAGCAGCCGCGGUAAUACGUAGGUGGCAAGCGUUAUCCGGAAUUAUUGGGCGUAAAGCGCGCGUAGGCGGUUUUUUAAGUCUGAUGUGAAAGCCCACGGCUCAACCGUGGAGGGUCAUUGGAAACUGGAAAACUUGAGUGCAGAAGAGGAAAGUGGAAUUCCAUGUGUAGCGGUGAAAUGCGCAGAGAUAUGGAGGAACACCAGUGGCGAAGGCGACUUUCUGGUCUGUAACUGACGCUGAUGUGCGAAAGCGUGGGGAUCAAACAGGAUUAGAUACCCUGGUAGUCCACGCCGUAAACGAUGAGUGCUAAGUGUUAGGGGGUUUCCGCCCCUUAGUGCUGCAGCUAACGCAUUAAGCACUCCGCCUGGGGAGUACGACCGCAAGGUUGAAACUCAAAGGAAUUGACGGGGACCCGCACAAGCGGUGGAGCAUGUGGUUUAAUUCGAAGCAACGCGAAGAACCUUACCAAAUCUUGACAUCCUUUGACAACUCUAGAGAUAGAGCCUUCCCCUUCGGGGGACAAAGUGACAGGUGGUGCAUGGUUGUCGUCAGCUCGUGUCGUGAGAUGUUGGGUUAAGUCCCGCAACGAGCGCAACCCUUAAGCUUAGUUGCCAUCAUUAAGUUGGGCACUCUAAGUUGACUGCCGGUGACAAACCGGAGGAAGGUGGGGAUGACGUCAAAUCAUCAUGCCCCUUAUGAUUUGGGCUACACACGUGCUACAAUGGACAAUACAAAGGGCAGCGAAACCGCGAGGUCAAGCAAAUCCCAUAAAGUUGUUCUCAGUUCGGAUUGUAGUCUGCAACUCGACUACAUGAAGCUGGAAUCGCUAGUAAUCGUAGAUCAGCAUGCUACGGGAAUACAGAUCCCGGGUC